AUUGCUUCUCAGCCUUUUGGCUAAGAUCAAGUGUAAUAAUUAUUAGUUUAUGUUCUCUUUUCUACCCAAAGAAUAUAUGGUGUAUUUAGUUGUCAUUGUGUAUUUUGUAACUUUUUUUUUUUUCUUUUGGUACCAGGGAUCAAACUCGGGUCCUUCUGCCUGUGCAGCAGGCAGCAGAACCACUGAGC
Molecule: small nuclear RNA, 188 nt
Organism: Heterocephalus glaber (naked mole-rat)
Lineage: Eukaryota; Metazoa; Chordata; Mammalia; Rodentia; Bathyergidae
Gene: U2
Rfam family: U2 spliceosomal RNA
About the family: U2 is a small nuclear RNA (snRNA) component of the spliceosome (involved in pre-mRNA splicing).
Source: Ensembl